GGGAUUGGGGCCCUGUGGGGCGCUAUAAGGGCCCUAGGGGGUGGAAUUGGGGCCCUAUGGGGUGCUAUAAGGGCCCUAGGGGGUGGUAUUGGGGCUCUGUUGGGGUCCUAUAGGGCCCUGUGGGGCUCUGUUAGGUCCCUCUAGGGCUCUAUUGGGGCUCUAUGGGUGAUAUUGGGGCCCUAUGGGGUGCCUCUAGGGCCCUAGGGGGUGGGAUUGGGGCCCAAUGGGGCACUAUAAGGGCCCUAGGGGGUGGUAUUGGGGCCCUAUGGGGUGCUAUAAGGGCCCUAGGGGUGGUAUUGGGGCUCUAUUAGGGUCCUAUAGGGCCCUGUGGGGCUCUAUUAGGUCCCUCUAGGGCUCUAUUGGGGCUCUAUGGGUGAUAUUGGGGCCCUAUGGGGCGCUAUAAGGGCCCUAGGGGGUGGGAUUGGGGCCCUAUGGGGUGCUAUAACGGCCCUAGGGGUGGUAUUGGGGCCCUGUGGGGCGCUAUAAGGGCCCUAGGGAUGGUAUUGGGGCUCUAUUGGGGUCCUACAGGGCCCUGUGGGGCUCUGUUAGGUCCCUAUAGGGCUCUACUGGGGCUCUAUGGGGCGCUAUGGGGUGCUGUAAGGGCCCUAGGGGGCGCUAUAAGGGCCCUAGGGGGUGGUAUUGGGACCCUAUGGGGCGCUAUAAGGGCCCUAGGGGGUGGUAUUGGGGCCCUAUGGGGCGCUAUAAGGGCCCUAGGGGUGGUAUUGGGGCUCUGUUGGGGUCCUGUAGGGCCCUGUGGGGCUCCAUUAGGUUCCUAUAGGGCUCUAUUGGGGCUCUAUGGGUGAUAUUGGGGCCCUAUGGGGCACUGUAAGGGCCCUAGGGGGUGAUACUGGGGCUCUAUGGGGUGCUAUGGGGCGCUGUAAGGUCCCUAGGGGGUGAUGUUGGGGCCCUAUGGGGUGCUGUAAGGUCCCUAUGGGGCACUGUAAGGGCUCUGGGGUGCUAUAAGGGCCCUAGGGGGUGGUAUUGGGGCUCUAUUGGGGUCCUAUAGGGCCCUGUGGGGCUCUAUUAGGUCCCUAUAGGGCUCUACUGGGGCUCUAUGGGGUGCUAUGGGGCGCUAUAAGGUCCCUAGGGGGUGAUGUUGGGGCCCUAUGGGGUGCUGUAAGGUCCCUAUGGGGCGCUGUAAGGGCCCUAGUGGGUGGUAUUGGGGCCCUGUGGGGGGCUAUAAGGGCCCUAGGGGGUGGGAUUGGGGCUCUAUUGGGGGUCCUAUAGGGCCCUGUGGGGCUCCAUUAGGUCCCUAUAGGGCUCUAUUGGGGCUCUAUGGGUGGUAUUGGGGCCCUGUGGGGCGCUAUAAGGGCCCUAGGGGGUGGUAUUAGGGCUCUGUUGGGGUCCUAUAGGGCCCUGUGGGGCUCCACUGGGUUCCUCUAGGGCUCUAUCGGGGCUCUAUGGGGCGCUAUAAGGACCCUAGGGGGUGGUACUGGGGCUCUAUUGGGGUCCUAUAGGGCCCUGUGGGGCUCUGUUAGGUCCAUAUAGGGCUCUAUUGAGGCUCUAUGGGUGAUAUUGGGGCCCUGUGGGGCGCUAUAAGGGCCCUAGGGGGUGGGAUUGGGGCCCUACGGGGCGCUAUAAGGGCCCUAGGGGGUGGUAUUGGGGCUCUAUUGGGGUCCUAUAGGGCCCUGUGGGGCUCCAUUAGGUUCCUCUAGGGCUCUAUUGGGGCUCUAUGGGUGACAUUGGGGCCCUAUGGGGUGCCAUAAGGGCCCUAGGGGGUGGGAUUGGGGCCCUGUGGGGGGCUAUAAGGGCCCUAGGGGGUGGGAUUGGGGCUCUGUUGGGGUCCUAUAGGGCCCUGUGGGGCUCUGUUAGGUCCCUAU
Molecule: long non-coding RNA, 1820 nt
Organism: Anser cygnoides (Swan goose)
Lineage: Eukaryota; Metazoa; Chordata; Aves; Anseriformes; Anatidae
Source: Ensembl